GCUGUUUCUUCUUCUUUAGUGGUUCUCCUAGUGCUCCAGGCUUUGUGACUCCAGGAGGCCUGUACGUGUGGGUCACAGGGGUCAUAAUGGCUUGACCAUGGUGCAGCCCAUUCAGAGGACCUUACAGGAAGCAGGCACACAGUAAGGAGACGUGCAGAGCCCUCCCCAGGAUUCUCUCCGCUGCCUAAGUCCAGAGAUCUGCUGGGGGAUGGUGUGAGCCCAAAGAAGCCGAUUUCCUUCUUGAAGGGGGUGAGAAGAAGGGAGACUGUGACUUGACCAAGCCAAUCGGCAAACUACCUUCCCUCCCAACAGAAGUUGAUUUGUUCAGGAGGGGGCAUGUGACAAAAGCUGGGCCACUCAGAGCCCAUCUAAGGACUUCACUGAAAUGCUGACAUAAAGCAGCCACUUGUGCCACAGGGGGAAAGCCAGCCUCAAAUGAAACUGUCUCACAAAGAAAUAGAGAUGAAUGACUUGUAGAGAACUGGAAACAGAAACAAAAUGAAACUUGCAGAGAAAAUAUUGCAAGUAAAUGUUGAACCUCUGGAUCGAACCAUGCCUGAGUCCCUCCUGGCUCUGACUUUUCAGUUAGAUCUCCAAGAGGACCCUCCUGCCUCUGCUUCUCUUCCUCCCCUGAAGUCAAUUUUGCAGUGUGCUGGUCAGCCUCAUCCAGCCCCUCUUUUCUGGGAACUGCUCUAACUCGAUGGCUGGAUUGACUGGCCAAGAGACAGACAUCAGGGUGAGCUGGAUCAUCAGACAGUCUCUCCUAGGAAUGUGAAAUACGAAUUCAGAGAGGCUGGCAGCCCAUUGUUCACGGGAAUGCAGAAGCUGUGAGGCUGAGAAACCCCUUUCCAUCCAGAGGGAAAGAAGGGUCCAGUUUCCUCUGAAGUUUGCAAGGACACAUGGAAGGUCAGCAGAAACUUGGCCAUCUCAGUGUCCUGGUGGGUGAUUUUUACGAGGAUUUCUCAUCACAGAGGAUGGGAACCCAAAGGAGAAUGGCCGCCAUUGGAGCCUUUCCUGUCCCUCCACUGCCCAGAACAACUGAACUCUGUGUCAGUUGGGCUGCAAGUAAAGAAAACUCAACUAAUGGAGGCCUCAUUGAACAGGAGUUCAUUUUACUCACGUAACAAACCUAUGUGGUCCCAGGAUUGUCUCACGGCCCAGUAAAGGCAAAGCAUGGCGUUAGCAAGUCUGAGAUGUUCUUGAAUUUCCCCCCAUUGCUGCAAGAUGGCCCCUACAGCUCCAAACAUCACAUCCUCAAUGGUGAAUAAAGCUGAUCUCCAACUGGGAAGAACUUCUGUCUCCUGGUGUGGUGAAGGCUGUUGGAGCAUCUGCAGGAGCAUCCAAACCCUGUGCUAUUGGGGUAGUCCAUGCCCUUCAAGCCAGUCAUGGCUUUCCUGUUUCCUCUGUCAAAUACUGGCUAAGGAUAGGUCUGUGAUGCAAUUCUGGCCAGUGAGACAUGAUGGAAGAGCUGCUGGGUGAAAUUCUGGGAAAAGUUCCCUUACUCUUUAAAAGAUGGAUCCAGGAGAAGAGAGUCUCUUUUGCUGGGUGUUGUCAUAUCUGGAGGUGAUGCCUGGAACUGUGGCAGCUGUCUUGUGAUUAUGAGGGAAGCUGGCCUGAAAACAGACUGGCCCACUGAAGAGGAGGGCAGCAUGGAAUGUGGAAUAAACCUGGGUCCCUGUUGGCUUCCUGCGGCCCUGAUCUAACCAGCCCUGAGCUGUCCUACCUCUGCACUGCUUGGCACAGGAGACACAUCUUGAUUGUUUAAGCCCCUUUGAGUUGGGUUUUCUGUUCCUUGCAGCUGACAGCACUCUAACCAAUCCACACAUUUCCCUCUGCUCGAUUUCCUGCUCCAGAGAGACAGGCACAGACCAGUACCGGGCAGCCCCACUCUGGGGAAAAACAACAGUGCUUAUUGUUUGCCGGCACAGUGGGAGCUCUGCCUCCUGGCACAGUGGGAGCUCUGCCUCCUGUGGCAGGCUGGCCAUUCCAAAACCACACUGCCUGCCACUGCCAUAAAGAGGCCAGGACUGUGUUCAAAACCCCAGGCAGCAGGAGGAGUGGUUUGUGGGAGGUGUUGUGGUAGUGCAUAAAGGAAGGUCAUUUCCUGACCCUCAGAACCCACACUGCCCUCAGCCCCACACAGCCCUACCCAGCCCAGCAUCGCCCCCAGUGCCCCUGGAGACAAUAAUGGCAGCCACCCACUGGCUGCUCCUGUGCGGGCAGGGCAGGAAAGCUGGUGGUUAAGUGCUGGAGAACCCCCAGGCCCUGGGGCUUGGCCGGAAAGGAUUUCUGUAGAGACAGCGUGGACAUUCUGUCCUCUGCAGGCCGCCUGGUACAGGAUGAAAACAGGCCGGCUCAGUACUUUUUUGGCAACCGAUUAUAUAGAUUUGCAUCCACAUGAGCUCCCUCUUGCAAUGACCCAGACCCCCACGAGGGCUCUCCCCACAGUCAU
This 2452-nucleotide long non-coding RNA is filed under the name Homo sapiens (human). RNAcentral's name for it is "HSALNT0304298". Lineage: Eukaryota; Metazoa; Chordata; Mammalia; Primates; Hominidae. The record is from RNAcentral.